This 207-nucleotide ribosomal RNA is filed under the name uncultured bacterium. RNAcentral describes it as "partial 16S ribosomal RNA". It matches the Rfam family "Bacterial small subunit ribosomal RNA", at positions 568 to 774 of the family's 1533-position model. The record is from RNAcentral.
CUCGUAGGCGGUUCGUCGCGUCCGGUGUGAAAGUCCAUCGCUUAACGGUGGAUCCGCGCCGGGUACGGGCGGGCUUGAGUGCGGUAGGGGAGACUGGAAUUCCCGGUGUAACGGUGGAAUGUGUAGAUAUCGGGAAGAACACCAAUGGCGAAGGCAGGUCUCUGCGCCGUCACUGACGCUGAGGAGCGAAAGCGUGGGGAGCGAACA